UAAUUUAUACGGGCGCGGAAUGGAAUGGAAGCGACUUUUUGCAACGAAACUGUACAUAGCACAAAAAACUUUUGUCAUCAGCAUA
Molecule: long non-coding RNA, 85 nt
Organism: Aricia agestis (brown argus)
Lineage: Eukaryota; Metazoa; Arthropoda; Insecta; Lepidoptera; Lycaenidae
Exons: 3
Source: RefSeq, a predicted model, not a curated record